UACGAAGGGGGCGAGCGUUGUUCGGAUUUACUGGGCGUAAAGGGUGCGUAGGCGGGUCUUUAAGUCCGGGGUGAAAUCCUGGAGCUCAACUCCAGAACUGCCUUUGAUACUGAAGAUCUUGAGUUCGGGAGAGGUGAGUGGAACUGCGAGUGUAGAGGUGAAAUUCGUAGAUAUUCGCAAGAACACCAGUGGCGAAGGCGGCUCACUGGCCCGAUACUGACGCUGAGGCACGAAAGCGUGGGGAGCAAACAGG
Molecule: ribosomal RNA, 253 nt
Filed under: uncultured bacterium
Lineage: Bacteria
Description: partial 16S ribosomal RNA
Rfam family: Bacterial small subunit ribosomal RNA
Source: RNAcentral